CGAAUCUUCCGCAAUGCGCGAAAGCGUGACGGAGCAAUGCCGCGUGCAGGAUGAAGCCCCUAGGGGUGUAAACUGCUGUCAGGGUUUAGCAACCCAAUGAGCAGACCCAAAGGAAGGGCCGGCUAACUUCGUGCCAGCAGCCGCGGUAAUACGAAGGGCCCGAGCGUUGCGCGGAAUCACUGGGCUUAAAGCGUAUGUAGGCGGACAAGCAGGCAUUUUGUGAAAUCCCUCGGCUCAACCGAGGAAUUGCUUGGUGAACCGCUUGUCUUGAGGUGAGUAGGGGCUGUCGGAACGAUAGGUGGAGCGGUGAAAUGCGUUGAUAUCUAUCGGAACGCCAAAGGCGAAGGCAGACAGCUGGGCUCAUUCUGACGCUGAGGUACGAAAGCGUGGGGAGCGAAC
RNAcentral lists this ribosomal RNA (399 nucleotides) under uncultured bacterium. RNAcentral's name for it is "bacterial SSU rRNA". It matches the Rfam family "Bacterial small subunit ribosomal RNA", at positions 358 to 773 of the family's 1533-position model. The record is from RNAcentral.